Long non-coding RNA from Callorhinus ursinus (northern fur seal), 833 nucleotides. RefSeq lists it as uncharacterized. Lineage: Eukaryota; Metazoa; Chordata; Mammalia; Carnivora; Otariidae. The record is from RefSeq and is a predicted model, not a curated record.
UAAAAAGAAAACAGACAUAAAAAGUUACUUCUUGCUCACUACCUACAUCUUUCCAGAUUUUAAUGAAACGGAGAAAUACUAGCUUUUCUUUGCUACUUGAGUCAAAAAAUACCAGAAAAGUCUUUACUGUAUGCUUCAUUAUAUUUCACGGUAAAUUUCUAGAAUGCAAACUGAACAUUACUUUUAUCUGACUGAAGCGGAAGCCUCAAACUUGGGAGACCUUUGGCCCAGUGCUUAUGUAAAUACUGCAGUCUAAAUCUACCGGACAGCAGAUGUCUCAUCAGAAUGUAUGGAAGACAAAAGGAAGUGACACAACUUUUUCAAGUGCUAAAACAAAACUCUACCAACCCGGAGCUCUUUAUCCAGCAAAAAUACCCUUCAAAUAUGAAGGAGAAGUCAAGACAUUCUCAGAUGAUAGAAAACUAAGAGAAUUUGUUGCCAGCAACAAACCUACCCUAAAUGAAUGGCUAAAAGAAGUCCUCUAGACAGAAAGGAAUCAAUAAAAGAAGGAACAUAGGAACAUCAAAAAAGACGUAGAUCAUGAAAAGCAAAAAUAUGGGCCUAGGAGUAGACUGACAAGAUGAGAGUUCUCCUAAUGCAGAGCUGAGGGCCACCUCUUAUUUCAGAGAUGACUACGGAACCUUAGUUCUGAUGACAUGAAUAAUGGCUCUCUGCUUUUGAUCUGUCUCAACAAUUCUUCAGCAACCCGCCGGGAUCAGAAAGGAGGAUAUUGCCAAUUGAUUGGUCCGUCUCCCUGACCUGCCUGCUGACUAAAUUCCAGAAUGUUCCAAGAAAGUUCAGAAACCUCCAAAAUAAAUUCUGCAUUUCAUUAA